This 75-nucleotide transfer RNA is filed under the name Streptococcus sanguinis. Its description in RNAcentral is "tRNA-Asn". It matches the Rfam family "tRNA". From Rfam's summary of the family: Transfer RNA (tRNA) molecules are approximately 80 nucleotides in length. Their secondary structure includes four short double-helical elements and three loops (D, anti-codon, and T loops). Lineage: Bacteria; Bacillati; Bacillota; Bacilli; Lactobacillales; Streptococcaceae. The record is from RNAcentral.
UCCGCCAUAGCUCAGUUGUGUAGUAGCGCAUGACUGUUAAUCAUGAUGUCGUAGGUUCGAGUCCUACUGGCGGAG